Long non-coding RNA from Papaver somniferum (opium poppy), 1347 nucleotides. RefSeq lists it as uncharacterized. The record is from RefSeq and is a predicted model, not a curated record. NCBI's taxonomy places the organism in Eukaryota, Viridiplantae, Streptophyta, Magnoliopsida, Ranunculales, Papaveraceae. The transcript has 2 exons.
AUCUCAUCACAACGUGGAAGAUUCAGAUUCAGAUUCAAUAAUCUGAUAUACUCACGACUCUAAGAAAUUGGACGGUAUAGAUGCUUAGAUUGGUUCACAACAACGCUGGAAAUGGUUGGACUGGACUGUGAAUCCAUUCUUCAAUUUUGUUUCUUCUUUUACUCUCUCUGCUUCUUCGAAGUCCAGGAUUUUUCCUUCAGUAAUCGAGAGAUAAGUUAGGGGUUUGUCUGCAAUCAAGGUUGAUCGUGAUUCUUUACCAGAGAUUGAAGAUUUCAUAGUGGUUUUGAUGGCGAGACGAAGAAGGCAUCAUCUUACAGAUGAAAGAUUUGGGAGGAAUUAGAUGGCUGAAGUUCUCAUGACAGUGCUGGGUUAAAUAUUCUCCUGGUGUUGGUUUUGCUGGUUGUAGGACAGAUUUUGGUAAUGGCAGUAAACGGUGGAGAUUUGGAAAUGAAUGUUUUCGAGUUCUAUUUAGUGCAGGUUGAUGAUGAUAUAGAGUUUGAAUGAAUUAGAAACGGUGGGUUGCUAUCUGAUUUGAAUUUGCAGGGAAUUGGAAAGCUUCAAAAGGUGUUUCCUCGUUUUCAUAUCACCGUCAAACUGUGCACAACAACCAUUUGAUAAAAAUCCUAAACCACAGGUCAAGUCUUGUAGCAGUCAUUCACGUCCCUUUUCUUUGCCGCUGCUCUAUCCAUGGGUUCUAGAGUUAUUUUAGGAGGCUCGACAAAUAUUUGAGAGGUUAAGAACAACACCGGUAGGUCGAUUUUGUAUUGAUUUGGGUUGGAUUUUGCUGAUUGUGGAUCAGUUCAGUGCAAGGAACAUCUUCUCUCAUAGUCAAGCUGGUGGUGUCACAAGGAUUAAGUGAGCUGGUGGUGUUGUUGAUUUUUGAGCUGGUGGGAGCGUAAGGAUGGGAUAGCGACGCUGGUUGUGUUAAAAAUUGAGCGGGUAGUGAUGGGCUAGUACUAUAUGGUAUUAUGUUGGAGAUGGUGACAUUGAUUUUACAUCCUGGUGACGGUGAAGCACUCGUAGCGAAGUUGAAAGAUUGUUGCUGCCUGCUAGUAUUGUGCAAUGGUGUAAUAGCUGGUUGGACUUGUGGAUAUCGAUUGAACUAGUGAAGGUGUAGCGGUGGUCUGUAUUGCUGAUGUUGAUGCGAUGAAUGGUGAUUGUUAUGGUCGUGAACGAGGUGUUGGGGUUCAAAUAAGAAGGUAAUGAGUUUGUGGGCUAUAUUGCCACGUGUUUGUAACGAUGAGAUGUACAGUGUCGACUUGUCAUGUCAUAUUCCAUGUGUAUAGAGUAAACUCUGUGACACAGACUUAAAUCAGCGAUUUAAAGGGCUAUUCUGUUAUUUUAGGU